UUUAUUUAUUUAUUCAAUAAACAAAAUAGAAAAAAAGAAAAAGGGGGUAGGUAGAAAGAGAUUUUCAACGAUAGAUAGUACGAGCAGUAGAUAGUAUAUAAAUGAAGGAACACGUGUAUGUCGUGAGUAAUGUCCCUCAACGGCUGUUAUUGUGACACGUACGAAAUCUAGAUCUCAAUUCGAGACGGUCGAUAUAUCGUAUUAUAUAUCCAACCCUCUUCUUGGAACGUUUUUACUUCCUGAUUAAGUUUUUUUUUCUUUUUUUUAACAAUAAGUCAAUACCUUACACUCUUAUCUUGGAUAAUAUUUCAAACUCCGGCCCUCAGCUCCCUCCAGUCUUGACAUAAGAGGAUCAGGAACAAGAUUUGAAGAUGAAUUACGGACGUCCUCCACCUCCGCAUCAUCACGAGAAUCCAUUGAUGACACUGUGCUGUUGCCCUUGUAUGAUGCUCUCCUCAAUAGUCUCUUGCCUUUGUUACCCUAUUCUUAACUGUUUUGGUAUGGGUCAGCAUCGUCCUCAUCCACAUGGAUAUCCCCCUCCCCCUCCUCCCCACCAUCAUCAUCGCUACUAACUAAUGCGCCAUUCUACCCGUACGCUGCAUUUGAUGUUUGUGGUUUAAUUAGUACAAGUAGUUGUGGUUCCUUUUCGGCUUAUUUGGAUGAUGUUGUGUUUAGUAUUGUGGUAUGGAUGAUGGUUUAUGGGUUGUUUUUGGGCCACCAUGUAAUAGAAUCUUCAAAUUAGAUGGUUGUGUACUUAUGUUAUCAAGCGUUCAAAUUGA
Molecule: long non-coding RNA, 779 nt
Organism: Erigeron canadensis
Lineage: Eukaryota; Viridiplantae; Streptophyta; Magnoliopsida; Asterales; Asteraceae
Exons: 2
Source: RefSeq, a predicted model, not a curated record